GGGCGUAAAGCGCACGCAGGCGGUCUGUCAAGUCGGAUGUGAAAUCCCCGGGCUCAACCUGGGAACUGCAUCCGAAACUGGCAGGCUAGAGUCUUGUAGAGGGGGGUAGAAUUCCAGGUGUAGCGGUGAAAUGCGUAGAGAUCUGGAGGAAUACCGGUGGCGAAGGCGGCCCCCUGGACAAAGACUGACGCUCAGGUGCGAAAGCGUGGGGAGCAAACAGGAUUAGAUACCCUGGUAGUCCACGCCGUAAACGAUGUCGACUUGGAGGUUGUGCCCUUGAGGCGUGGCUUCCGGAGCUAACGCGUUAAGUCGACCGCCUGGGGAGUACGGCCGCAAGGUUAAAACUCAAAUGAAUUGACGGGGGCCCGCACAAGCGGUGGAGCAUGUGGUUUAAUUCGAUGCAACGCGAAGAACCUUACCUACUCUUGACAUCCAGAGAACUUAGCAGAGAUGCUUUGGUGCCUUCUGGAACUCUGAGACAGGUGCUGCAUGGCUGUCGUCAGCUCGUGUUGUGAAAUGUUGGGUUAAGUCCCGCAACGAGCGCAACCCUUAU
RNAcentral lists this ribosomal RNA (553 nucleotides) under uncultured Citrobacter sp. RNAcentral describes it as "bacterial SSU rRNA". It matches the Rfam family "Bacterial small subunit ribosomal RNA", at positions 556 to 1108 of the family's 1533-position model. Lineage: Bacteria; Pseudomonadati; Pseudomonadota; Gammaproteobacteria; Enterobacterales; Enterobacteriaceae. The record is from RNAcentral.